This is an RNA transcript of Prosopis cineraria, 2040 nucleotides long. It is a transcript of the gene named 4-alpha-glucanotransferase, chloroplastic/amyloplastic, with no coding region annotated. The transcript has 16 exons. The record is from RefSeq and is a predicted model, not a curated record. NCBI's taxonomy places the organism in Eukaryota, Viridiplantae, Streptophyta, Magnoliopsida, Fabales, Fabaceae.
GAUCCACGCUCAGCUGGAACAAUGAGAUUGAGUCCACUCUAGUACUCUACCCCAACGCAGCCAUGUUGCGAUCAAUCUAUAAAGAGGCUCUCUUUUUCUCGUAGGUUUUAAUAAAAAGUGUCUCCGGAGCACAUUUCAGAUAGAUGGCCAUGUCCAUCUCAACCUCUUACCCACAAGCAUGGUGCGCUCUCUCCUGUUGUGGGUGGAGCUCCCACCAUCCAACGACUUCUCUUAACCUCUCUGGCUCUGCUAUGUUCAAACCCAAAGCAACUGAUUCGCUGAUCCAUUGCCAGAGUAUUUUGGCUCAAGUCAGCGUUGGUGAGGAUUUACCUGAUGAUUACGGGAAUUGGCUGCCCCAGCCAGGCCCAGACGAUCGGAGAAGAGCCGGAAUUCUACUCCAUCCGACGUCGUUUGGAGGCCCCUACGGAAUUGGCGAUCUCGGAGACGAGACCUUUCGUUUCAUUGACUGGCUUCACGGUGCUGGUUGCUCCGUCUGGCAGGUCCUACCUCUUGUUCCUCCCGGGAGAAAGACCAAUGAAGAUGGAUGCCCUUACGCAGGCCAGGAUGCAAAUUGUGGCAAUACCCUCUUGAUCUCUCUAGAGGAGCUUGUUAAGGACGGAUUGUUGUACAAGGAUGAGCUUCCAAAACCAAUUGACGCUGAACGCGUGAAUUUCUCACUUGUUGCUGAUGUUAAGGAUCCUUUGAUUGCUAAAGCUGCAACGAGGCUCAUUUCAAGUGAAGGGGAACUUAAAAGGCAACUUGAGAAUUUUUGUAGGGACCCUAACAUAUCAAGCUGGCUUGAAGAUGCAGCUUAUUUUGCUGCUAUUGAUGACAGUCUAAGCACAUUGAGCUGGUAUGAUUGGCCUGAACCUUUAAGAAACCGCCAUCUUGUAGCUCUAGAAGAUAUCUACCAACUCAAGAAAGAUUUUAUUGAAAUAUUUAUUGCCCAACAAUUCUUGUUUCAGAGGCAAUGGCAGAAAGUUUGUAACUAUGCCCGGAGUAGGGGAAUUAAGAUAAUGGGAGACAUGCCCAUAUAUGUGGGUUAUCACAGUGCUGAUGUUUGGGCAAAUAAGAACCAAUUUCUGCUGAACAGGAGAGGUUUUCCUAUUUUAGUUAGUGGUGUUCCUCCUGAUGCAUUCAGUGAAACUGGUCAGCUGUGGGGCAGCCCUUUGUAUGAUUGGAAUGCCAUGGAAAAAGAUGGGUACUCAUGGUGGAUACGCCGAAUACGAUGUGCUCAAAGUGUUUAUGAUGAAUUCAGAAUUGAUCACUUUAGAGGAUUUUCUGGAUUUUGGGCAGUUCCCUCUGAAGCUAAAGUAGCAAUGGUUGGAAAAUGGAAGGUAGGACCUGGAAAAUCCUUCUUUGAUGCUGUUUCCAGAGCAGUUGGAAAGAUUAAUAUAGUAGCAGAAGACUUGGGAGUUAUUACUGAGGAUGUAGUUCAGCUAAGAAAAUAUAUUGGAGCACCUGGAAUGGCCGUUCUCCAAUUUGCAUUUGGUGGUGAUGCUGAUAACCCUCAUUUGCUCCAUAAUCAUGAGUGCAAUCAAGUUGUGUAUACAGGGACUCACGACAAUGACACUAUCAGAGGUUGGUGGGAAGCUUUGAAGCAAGAAGAAAAGUCCAAUGUCAGUGGUAUGGAGUUAUCUUUCAUUAACAGAGGAGGAUGACAUCUCAUGGGCGCUAAUUCAGAAGGUACUAUCUUCCGUUGCUCGGACAGCUAUAAUACCUAUGCAGGAUAUUCUCAGACUUGGAAGCUCUGCAAGGAUGAAUAUUCCCGCAACUCAGUUGGGAAACUGGGGUUGGAGAAUUCCAAGAUCUGUGAGCUUUGAUAGGUUGGAGAGAGAAGCGGCUAAGCUUAAAGAUAUGCUGUCAAUGUAUGGGCGACUUUGAAUAAGGAAUCCUCAGCUAUUUGGUAGUCAAGAGCAUGUUUGAUUUUAGUGGUUUCUACAUGAAAACCCCACACACACUAAAAGUACGACCAACUAAAAUUGCACAAGAUCAUGGCUGAUUUUGGUCAAUCAAAGGCGAGUCCUCAUUAAUAACAAA